UCGGGAAUUUUGGGCAAUGGGCGAAAGCCUGACCCAGCAACGCCGCGUGAGGGAUGAAGUAUUUCGGUAUGUAAACCUCGAAAGAAUGGGAAGAAUAAAUGACGGUACCAUUUAUAAGCUCCGGCUAACUACGUGCCAGCAGCCGCGGUAAUACGUAGGGAGCAAGCGUUGGUCGGAUUUACUGGGCGUAAAGGGCGCGUAGGCGGCGCGGUAAGUCACUUGUGAAAUCUCUGAGCUUAACUCAGAACGGCCAAGUGAUACUGCUGUGCUAGAGUGCGGCAGAGGCAACCGGAAUUCUUGGUGUAGCGGUGAAAUGCGUAGAUAUCAAGAGGAACACCUGAGGCGAAGGCGGGUUGCUGGGCCGACAAUGACGCUGAUGCGCGAAAGCCAGGGGAGCAAACG
This 402-nucleotide ribosomal RNA is filed under the name uncultured bacterium. Its description in RNAcentral is "bacterial SSU rRNA". It matches the Rfam family "Bacterial small subunit ribosomal RNA", at positions 355 to 774 of the family's 1533-position model. The record is from RNAcentral.